Molecule: ribosomal RNA, 469 nt
Filed under: uncultured bacterium
Lineage: Bacteria
Description: bacterial SSU rRNA
Rfam family: Bacterial small subunit ribosomal RNA
Source: RNAcentral
AGAGUUUGAUCCUGGCUCAGGACGAACGCUUGCGGCGUGCCUAAGAAAUGCAAGUCGAGCGGGGUUAUGCGCUGAACGAAGCUUCGGCUAAGUUCUUGUAUAAUCUAGCGGCGAACGGUCGCGUAACACGUAAGCAACCCGCCCUGAAGUGUGGGAUAGCCCUCCGAAAGGAGGAUUAAUACCGCAUGUGGAUAUCUCCCCGCAUGAGGAGACAUCUAAAGCAGCAAUGCGCUUCAGGAUGGGCUUGCGGCCUAUCAGCUAGUUGGUGGGGUAAUGGCCUACCAAGGCGACGACGGGUAGCUGGUCUGAGAGGACGAUCAGCCGGAUUGGGACUGAGAUACGGCCCAGACUCCUACGGGGGGCAGCAAUUAGGAAUCUUGCACAAUGGGGGAAACCCUGAUGCAGCGACGCCGCGUGAGUGAUGAAGUUUUUCGGAAUGUAAAACUCUGUCCUUCGGGGAAGAAGAAUG